CUCACUUUGAGGCCAGGCAGUUUCCUCCCGGGCCCCCGGCUGCCACGCUGGGGAGACAGGCAGGCCCCGCCAUAUGAGGCCUGGGACUUGGGGGUGAUUUCAUGUCUGGAGGUUGGGCCAGGAGGCCCUCGGCAGGGGUGAUUCUGGGAUCCUGGGCCCCACCCUUCAGAGCUUCAUUUGGCCGCAAGGGUUCUGGUCUAGGAGACUCCUGGUCCAGAUGCGCCCUGGGCCUGCCCUGGCCUCGUCAGAGUCCAGCUCAUCCUGGCCCCUUCCAGAGCCACCAGCCGCGCUGACCUCUCGCUCCCCUCUUGGGCCGCUCUUGCCUCCUGGAAUGUGACCAAAUUAGGCGUCUGGUGACUAACUUUCCUGCCCGAGCUCCACCUCCAGUUGGUCAAAGGAUUUCCCUUCCUUGAGGGCUCCCCUAGUCCGGUUCUAACUUCUCCCCUAGGGAGUGCAGGGAGGUCCUCAGCUCGCCUCUCAAUCUGGGCCUGCCCCUGGCCUGCUUGGGAGCCCCCAAGGCUCUCGGAAGCUUUUCACGGGAACAACUUUACAGUCGAAUCUUGCAGGCACGCAGUGGGUUUGUUAAUGCACGCAUAGGGCUUUUCUUCAGCCAGGCAGAAGGUCUCCGGGCUGGGUUCCACUGAUCCCAGCAGGGGGUCCGCUUGGGGAUGGAGCGCUGUGUCACUCCGCUGGAGACCUCCCUUAGAAUUGAGACUGUCAGCCCUUCACCAACCUCCUUAGCCAAACAUUGUUCUUACUUUUGCAGUUGGGGAAAUUGGGCUGUUGUAUUUCAGGAAUGCACUUGAAAAGGAGCCUGGUGAUCCCUGGCCUGGCACGCUGAGGCCCUGCCUGGGCUGGCGUGUGCUGUGCCGGGUAAAGCACGGAAUUACACGGUCACCUAACGUGACUCAAACCCUGGUCCCAGCUCUUCCUCGCUGUGUGGCCCCAGGCACGUUCUUUAACUCUUCUGAGCCUGCUCACCUCGUCUCUAAAGUGGGGGUCACAAUGUCCAUCCCGUGGGGUGGGAGGUGAGUGUGAAGCGAGAUUGCACAGGUGGAUCUGGUGGCAUGGGGUCUGGUGCAGAGGGCGUUCACGGCUGUGGAGCUGGUGGCACGGGGUCUGGUGCAGAGGGCAUUCACGGCUGUGGAGCUGCUGUCACGUAUGAUGUCUCUGUCACACCCAACAGUGACGGGAACCGGGCCCUCCACACCCCGAUACGUGCCGCCCGGAGCUUCUGCCGUGUGUGCCAUGUCCUUUGGGUCCCCGUGGGCCCGGUGGGCCUGCAGUCAUCCUGCAAUGCUGCCUCCUCCUCCUCUUCAAGGCCCUGAGUACAGCGGCUAGAAAUGAGGCCUCCCCUCCUAUCCUCCUAUUCCCCAAGCCAAGCGUCUCCCCACCUGUGGCUGGCCCCUGAGAACUCCCUGACGAGGGACGAGGUGCCUCUCAGCAGCCCCCAGUUUUGGAAAAGUGACAGACGUCCCCAUGGACGCAGCCUGCCCUGUGGCCCUCCCUCGAUCUGCCGGGCAAUUACUGUGUGCAUCACACUCCAAAACCUGGUGGCAUGAAACAGCCGCCUCAUGUUCUCUACGGAUGCUGCAGAGCAGACCUCAGACGGGGCCAGCUUCCUCCCAGCGUGGUGGCCCCAGCAGAACCAGACUUCCUUCAAGGCGGCUGAGGACUCCAAAAGCCGGUUGGUUCCAGCCACCCAGGUGUAAGGCUGAAGAAAUCACAACAGGAAGCUGUCACGAAGAUAGACAACCCUGGCAUCAACUCUCUGCAUUGAAGGAG
Long non-coding RNA from Cercocebus atys (sooty mangabey), 1785 nucleotides. RefSeq lists it as uncharacterized. The record is from RefSeq and is a predicted model, not a curated record. Lineage: Eukaryota; Metazoa; Chordata; Mammalia; Primates; Cercopithecidae. The transcript has 3 exons.